CGGGGGCAAGAGGUUCGACUCGAGCGAAGCGAGAGAACGUUGCGUCAGCAACGGCCCGCAGGGCGAGCCACGCAGUGGCGAGUCAUCCUCUAUCACCGACCA
Molecule: small RNA, 102 nt
Filed under: Salmonella enterica
Lineage: Bacteria; Pseudomonadati; Pseudomonadota; Gammaproteobacteria; Enterobacterales; Enterobacteriaceae
Also listed under: 3 other names
Description: partial RtT sRNA
Rfam family: RtT RNA
About the family: This family represents a bacterial cis-regulatory element known as RtT RNA. The exact function of RtT is unknown although it is thought that it may be involved in changing the cellular response in relation to amino acid starvation.
Source: RNAcentral